Molecule: ribosomal RNA, 484 nt
Filed under: uncultured bacterium
Lineage: Bacteria
Description: partial 16S ribosomal RNA
Rfam family: Bacterial small subunit ribosomal RNA
Source: RNAcentral
AUUGAACGCUGGCGGAAGGCUUUACACAUGCGAGUCGAGCGGCAGCGCGGCCUUCGGGCUGGCGGCGAGCGGCGAACGGGUGAGUAAUGCAUCGGAACAUGCCCAGUCGUGGGGGAUAACACUUCGAAAGAAGUGCUAAUACCGCAUACGUCCUGAGGGGGAAAGCGGGGGAUCGCAAGACCUCGCGCGAUUGGAGUGGCCGAUGUCAGAUUAGCUAGUUGGUGGGGUAAAGGCCUACCAAGGCGACGAUCUGUAGCUGGUCUGAGAGGAUGAUCAGCCACACUGGGACUGAGACACGGCCCAGACUCCUACGGGAGGCAGCAGUGGGGAAUUUUGGACAAUGGGGGCAACCCUGAUCCAGCCAUUCCGCGUGAGUGAAGAAGGCCUUCGGGUUGUAAAGCUCUUUCGGCAGGAACGAAACGGUGGGCUCUAACAUAGUCCGCUAAUGACGGUACCUGAAGAAGAAGCACCGGCUAACUACGUG